GGAUGUGAGGGCGAUCUGACUGCGACAUCUGUCACCCCAUUGAUCGCCAGGGUUGAUUCGGCUGAUCUGGCUGGCUAGGUGGGUGUCCCCUUCCUCCUUCAUCACUUCAUGUGUGUCCCUCCCGAAGCUGCACUUCCCCCAAAUAGAGACUGACCAACUGACCCGUCUUCUUCGGUCGGUCGAGGAAAUACGAGUAGCUGCGCUCCCCUGCUAGAAUCUCCGAGCUCUCUUUCAUGUAAUGUGUGUUGUACAUUACGUGAAAGUUGUAAAAUUCAUACUUUCUUUUUAU
Molecule: small nuclear RNA, 289 nt
Filed under: Erinaceus europaeus (western European hedgehog)
Lineage: Eukaryota; Metazoa; Chordata; Mammalia; Eulipotyphla; Erinaceidae
Description: 7SK RNA
Rfam family: 7SK RNA
About the family: 7SK was discovered as an abundant small nuclear RNA in the mid-70s but a possible function has only recently been suggested. Two independent studies have found that 7SK RNA binds the CDK9/cyclin T complex (known as elongation factor P-TEFb). P-TEFb activates transcription by phosphorylating the C-terminal domain of RNA polymerase II.
Source: Rfam by way of RNAcentral